GCAAAGGAAAGUGGUUUUUCUAACAAACUCAUGUAAUCAAUUGCCCGACGUACUCCAAUUUGAUUUUUUUCACAUAGUUAGACAUAAUAUAGUACUAUGAAAUGUUUCUGACCUAAAAUAAUACGAAAUAUGAUUGUUUACAUUAAAAUGUAAAACUUGAUGAUAAAGUAUGAUAAGUUGAAAAAAGUGACAUUUGAAGGUCAGAAAGUCACUUUUCAUCAAAAGUACCAUAACAAAACUUGUUUCCAUUCAUCCUGUGUGUCCAUGCACACUUGUGCUCUUUAUCCGCUCAAAACGCUAUACAGCGAACGAGAAGGCGCUAGGAGCAAAGGAAAGUGGUUUUUCUAACAAACUCAUGUAAUCAGUUGCCCGACGUACUCCAAUUUGAUUUUUUUCACAUAGUUAGACAUAAUAUAGUACUAUGAAAUGUUUCUGACCCUAAAAUAAUACGAAAUAUGAUUGUUUACAUUAAAAUGUAAAACUUGAUGAUAAAGUAUGAUAAGUUGAAAAAAGUGACAUUUUAUGUCUAGAAAGUCAGUUUUCAUCAAAAGUACCAUAACAAAACUUAGUUCGCAUUCAUCCUGUGUCUCCUUACACACUUGUGCUCUUUAUCCGCUCAAAACGCUAUAGAGCGAACGAGAAGGCGCUAGGAGCAAAGGAAAGUGGUUUUUCUAACAAACUCA
Long non-coding RNA from Ictalurus punctatus (channel catfish), 683 nucleotides. The record is from Ensembl. Lineage: Eukaryota; Metazoa; Chordata; Actinopteri; Siluriformes; Ictaluridae.